AUUGAACGCUAGCGGGAUGCUUUACACAUGCAAGUCGAACGGCAGCGCGGACUUCGGUCUGGCGGCGAGUGGCGAACGGGUGAGUAAUGUAUCUGAACGUGCCCAGUAGCGGGGGAUAACUACGCGAAAGCGUAGCUAAUACCGCAUACGCCCUACGGGGGAAAGCAGGGGAUCGUAAGACCUUGGACUAUUGGAGCGGCCGAUAUCGGAUUAGCUAGUUGGUGGGGUAACGGCUCACCAAGGCGACGAUCCGUAGCUGGUGUGAGAGGACGACCAGCCACACUGGGACUGAGACACGGCCCAGACUCCUACGGGAGGCAGCAGUGGGGAAUUUUGGACAAUGGGGGCAACCCUGAUCCAGCCAUCCCGCGUGUGCGAUGAAGGCCUUCGGGUUGUAAAGCACUUUUGGCAGGAAAGAAACGUCGCGGGCUAAUACCCCGUGGAACUGACGGUACCUGCAGAAUAAGCACCGGCUAACUACGUG
Molecule: ribosomal RNA, 484 nt
Filed under: uncultured bacterium
Lineage: Bacteria
Description: partial 16S ribosomal RNA
Rfam family: Bacterial small subunit ribosomal RNA
Source: RNAcentral